GAUGAACGCUGGCGGCGUGCCUAAUACAUGCAAGUCGAGCGAAGAGAUGAGGAGCUUGCUCCUCUGACGUUAGCGGCGGACGGGUGAGUAACACGUGGAUAACCUACCUAUAAGACUGGGAUAACUUCGGGAAACCGGAGCUAAUACCGGAUAAUAUAUUGAACCGCAUGGUUCAAUAGUGAAAGACGGUUUUGCUGUCACUUAUAGAUGGAUCCGCGCCGCAUUAGCUAGUUGGUAAGGUAACGGCUUACCAAGGCAACGAUGCGUAGCCGACCUGAGAGGGUGAUCGGCCACACUGGAACUGAGACACGGUCCAGACUCCUACGGGAGGCAGCAGUAGGGAAUCUUCCGCAAUGGGCGAAAGCCUGACGGAGCAACGCCGCGUGAGUGAUGAAGGUCUUCGGAUCGUAAAACUCUGUUAUUAGGGAAGAACAAAUGUGUAAGUAACUAUGCACGUCUUGACGGUACCUAAUCAGAAAGCCACGGCUAACUACGU
This 496-nucleotide ribosomal RNA is filed under the name uncultured bacterium. RNAcentral describes it as "partial 16S ribosomal RNA". It matches the Rfam family "Bacterial small subunit ribosomal RNA", at positions 28 to 506 of the family's 1533-position model. The record is from RNAcentral.